This 954-nucleotide small RNA is filed under the name uncultured Solirubrobacter sp. Its description in RNAcentral is "bacterial SSU rRNA". The stretch from base 1 to 490 matches the Rfam family "Bacterial small subunit ribosomal RNA", at positions 1045 to 1533 of the family's 1533-position model. The record is from RNAcentral. Lineage: Bacteria; Bacillati; Actinomycetota; Thermoleophilia; Solirubrobacterales; Solirubrobacteraceae.
AUGGCUGUCGUCAGCUCGUGUCGUGAGAUGUUGGGUUAAGUCCCGCAACGAGCGCAACCCCCGUCGCAUGUUGCCAGCAUUUAGUUGGGGACUCAUGCGAGACUGCCGGUGACAAACCGGAGGAAGGUGGGGAUGACGUCAAGUCAUCAUGCCCCUUAUGUCCAGGGCUACACACGUGCUACAUUGGCGCGUACAGAGGGCUGCGAUACCGCGAGGUGGAGCGAAUCCCUUAAAGCGCGUCUCGGUUCGGAUUGCAGGCUGAAACCCGCCUGCAUGAAGGCGGAGUUGCUAGUAAUCGCGGAUCAGCAUUGCCGCGGUGAAUACGUUCCCGGGCCUUGUACACACCGCCCGUCACACCAUGGGAGUGAGCAACACCCGAAGCCGGUGGCCUAACCCUUUUGGGAGGGAGCCGUCGAAGGUGGGGCUCGUGACUGGGGUGAAGUCGUAACAAGGUAGCCGUAGCGGAAGCUGCGGCUGGAUCACCUCCUUUCUAGGGAGCCCGUUACAGGGCACCGAUCGUCCGCACGACCGUUCAUUCGAGCUCUCGAGCUCGAACGAGACGUUCUCCUGCGCGCACGAUCGGCCACUAGAUAUGUCGACCGGACCUGGCAGGACGCACAACCUCGGGCCUGGCCCGGGCGCGAUGCAUUCCGCAUGCUGUUGAGUUUUGAGAGACCGGCGCGCUGCCGGAGCUUCAGAGGAUUUCGAUCCCACGGGCGCCGGCAGACACGCUCGCCUCUUCGCGGACCUUGAAAACUACACAGUAGCCAAUUAAACGGGUAUCACCGGGUGAAGCCGCAAGGCUUCCCCCAACAAGAUCACCGUCAAGAUAGUAAGGGCACACGGUGGAUGCCUUGGCACCAAGAGUCGAUGAAGGGCGUGAACGGCUGCGAUAAGCCGCGGUGAGGCGCUGAAUGGCCAGUGACCCGCGGAUGCCCGAAUGGGGAAACCCGG